RNAcentral lists this ribosomal RNA (394 nucleotides) under uncultured fungus. RNAcentral describes it as "partial small subunit ribosomal RNA". It matches the Rfam family "Eukaryotic small subunit ribosomal RNA", at positions 30 to 426 of the family's 1831-position model. The record is from RNAcentral. Lineage: Eukaryota; Fungi.
GCUUGUCUCAAAGAUUAAGCCAUGCAUGUCUAAGUAUAACUCUUUUACUUUGAAAACUGCGAACGGCUCAUUAUAUCAGUUAUAGUUUCUUUGAUAGUCCCUUACUACUUGGAUACCCGUAGUAAUUCUAGAGCUAAUACAUGCGAAAAGACGGGCCGCAAGGCUUGUUGUAUUUAUUAGAUAAAAAAUCAAUACCUGUUCUGCAGGUCCUAUUGGUGAGUCAUAAUAACUGUUCGAAUCGCAUGCUUCGGCAGGCGAUAGUUCAUUCAAAUUUCUGCCCUAUCAGCUUUCGAUGGUAGGGUAUUGGCCUACCAUGGCAUUAACGGGUAACGAAUUGUUAGGGCAAGAUUUCGGAGAGGGAGCCUGCGAGACGGCUACCACAUCCAAGGAAGGC